Long non-coding RNA from Hydractinia symbiolongicarpus, 1042 nucleotides. RefSeq lists it as uncharacterized. NCBI's taxonomy places the organism in Eukaryota, Metazoa, Cnidaria, Hydrozoa, Anthoathecata, Hydractiniidae. The transcript has 3 exons. The record is from RefSeq and is a predicted model, not a curated record.
AAAUAAAAAAGAAAAGUUGUUUUUUCUAAAAAUACUAAAUUAGAGUUUUUAACUCUAAAUUUAAGUUUUUAAUUUUAAUACCUUUUUUAAUUGCGAUAGCGCGAUGGUUUGGUUUCGGCUCAGCCCUACGGCAUUCAAAAGUCACAUUAAUAAAGUUAUUUUAAGAUAACAAGUGCUAUCUUAAGAUAACUCUAUUAAUGUGAUUUCGGAAUGCGUGUAUAUUCACAUAAAUGUCUUGAUUGUAAGAUAACUCGAGUUAUUUUAAGAUAACAUAAAUGUGAUAAUUCUAUCUUUUCUAAUGCGCAUAUGUGUAAAUGAACGUUGCUUAGGGUGCGGAUACGUAAAGUAGCUCACAAAACAACAGCCUAGAUGAAUUUCCGGCCGUAUUGACAUUUAUUUUAAUACGUCAUUUGUAUUGUCCUUGUGGUGUCGCGUAUGUGCUCUGCUGUAGAGUUCGCUCUGCGGUGGAGAACAAGAUGCAUUUUGUUAGUUUUGUGUUGUGAUGUAUUGUCCCGUGUUAAUUAUGUAAAGAGAAUAAUUGUAAUUUUGGUACUAUUUUUAGUUAAAUUUUCUGCACAUCUUGCACAUCUUUUUUCUGCGCAUUCAGUCUUCAACGUGUAAUGACAGAGUCGAACAUACAUUUUUGUAAUAAAUUCGCUGUUGAGUGAAAUUUUUCUUUCAUACAUCACAGGAGUUGUCCUGUAUCUCAGCAUCUGUUUUAGUUGUUUUCUCUCACAUGUAGUUGGCUUGGCUUACGCCACUAUAUAUCUAGUUAAAUCUUGGCAUUCAUUUUUUUGCUUUGCUAAAUUGUAUUUUUGGUAAUAUAGAACAGACAGCCAAUUACUGAUAUGAAAAAUCGUAAGAAUAAUAUUAAACGAAGAUCCAUACAAUGUAAAUUGGAGAAACUGAUUACAUUACAACGAACGAGUGAAUGAUCAGUGAAAAACAAUCUAAGAAAUGUAUGGAUGCUGAGUCGUUUACAACACAUGUAAAAAAGUGCGCCAAAUAUAAUUUUUUUAAAAAAAUCUGCCGAAUUUAUGGA